RNAcentral lists this transfer RNA (73 nucleotides) under Dipodomys ordii (Ord's kangaroo rat). It matches the Rfam family "tRNA". From Rfam's summary of the family: Transfer RNA (tRNA) molecules are approximately 80 nucleotides in length. The record is from Rfam by way of RNAcentral. Lineage: Eukaryota; Metazoa; Chordata; Mammalia; Rodentia; Heteromyidae.
UGGAAUGUAGCUCAGGGGUAGAAGCAUUUGCCUAGCAUGCAUGAAGUCUUUAGUUCAAUUCUUAGCAUUGCAG